GACGAACGCUGGCGGCGUGCUUAACACAUGCAAGUCGAACGGAAAGGCCCUGCUUUUGUGGGGUGCUCGAGUGGCGAACGGGUGAGUAACACGUGAGUAACCUGCCCUUGACUUUGGGAUAACUUCAGGAAACUGGGGCUAAUACCGGAUAGGAGCUCCUGCUGCAUGGUGGGGGUUGGAAAGUUUCGGCGGUUGGGGAUGGACUCGCGGCUUAUCAGCUUGUUGGUGGGGUAGUGGCUUACCAAGGCUUUGACGGGUAGCCGGCCUGAGAGGGUGGCCGGCCACAUUGGGCCUGAGAUACGGCCCAGACUCCUACGUGAGGCAGCAGUGGGGAAUAUUGCACAAUGGGCGGAAGCCUGAUGCGGCAACGCCGCGUGCGGGAUGACGGCCUUCGGGUUGUAAACCGCUUUCGCCUGUGACGAAGCGUGAGUGACGGUAAUGGGUAAAGAAGCACCGGCUAACUACGUG
Molecule: ribosomal RNA, 468 nt
Filed under: uncultured bacterium
Lineage: Bacteria
Description: partial 16S ribosomal RNA
Rfam family: Bacterial small subunit ribosomal RNA
Source: RNAcentral